Long non-coding RNA from Colossoma macropomum (tambaqui), 1786 nucleotides. RefSeq lists it as uncharacterized. The record is from RefSeq and is a predicted model, not a curated record. Lineage: Eukaryota; Metazoa; Chordata; Actinopteri; Characiformes; Serrasalmidae. The transcript is spliced from 2 exons.
UCUGUGUUUAACUGCCAAGCCUGCAGAACAACUUACACUUUGAAUGUCUUCAGUUUCUUUUCUUUAAAUACUGAAUCUUUACUGGUCCACACAGGUAUUUAACCAGUGUCUGUGUCUGAGAGAGAUUAGUAUCAUUACCUCUCUCUCUCUCUAUCUCUCUCUCUCUCUCUCUCUCUCUCUCUGUCACUCAGAGACACACACACUUCAACACAAAUGUUUUUAAUACUUCACUCUUUUCCUCUCCUAAUGUUGAACUGUGUUUUGUGUGUUUUUACUAAAAUAACAGUAUUAAAUGCUGUAUUGUUGCAGCUUCUGCCCUAGUUUUGUAUUGUAUAGUUUUGUGGGUGUGUCAGUAAUAUAUAACAUAAAAGUGUAAAAUGUCUUUAAAUUGAACAGUUGCUGCAUUUGUUUAUGUCAGUGUUCAUAUAAAACAAGUACAUCCAGUUUCAUACUGAGUUGCCAAGUUACCAACUUAUUAGUAAUGUUGUUAUUUUCUAUUUGUAUUCCUAUUAUUGGUAUUGUAGGUGAUAUUGAUAAUAGUUUUGGUGAGUUAAUUGUAAGUCAGUUAUCUGACAUGAGUUUCAUCAUACAGAUACGCCAAAGAUGAAACUGAUAAAUAACAAAACACUAUAUGAAAUUUGCAUGAGUUCAUUUUAUGAUCAGAUUUGACCAAACACAUUUUUACAAAACACAUCAUCACCCACUUCAUGUCUCUCAAACAAAUGCAAAUUGCCCACACAAAAUAUCAUCCAUUUUACAUUUCUGUCUCUUGUUUUUCCUUUUUUGGUGUGUGUUUGUUUCUAUGAGAGGAUCAUACAGAAUGAAUUCAGUUAUGUAGUGUGUAGUUUUUUUCUUCUUAAUUGCUUGGGUGAGAUGUUGGUGUUUUUAUAGAUUGUAUAUGUAGUUGUGUGUAGAACCGUAAGUGUGAGGAAGUUUUCUCCAUCUCUCUACAGAUUAUAUCACUGCAGUAUUACAGAGAGAGGCUGUAAAGCUCUGGUUAAAGCUUUGAAAUCAAAUCCUUCACACUUGAGAGAGCUGGAUCUGUAUGACAAUAAACCAGGAGAGUCAGGAGUGAAGAUGCUUUCUGCUCUACUAGAAGAUCCACACUGUAAACUGGAGAAACUACACUUCUGAAAACCACCUGCACUUGACCUGCUAUGAGCUUCUCAAACUCUGGGCUGAUGAGCAGAGGACGACGUCUUAUAGAACCUACAGAUUGUCUUGGUUGUCAAGUUUGUUCACUCAUUGGUCAAAUCUGUGAUCACAGAUGCAGGGAUUUCUUUAUUUUCCUGGAUACCAUUGGCUGCACCUCAGACAGUACAUCUGUCAAUCUCCUCACAUUUGAGGUUGACCCCACAUUGUUUAGAGGAACACAAGAUGCUCCUCUUCCUCUCAAAGCACCUGGACUCCUGGGAUCAACAUCAACCCUCUCAAACCAGUGGAAAUGUUGACAGACUCUCAUAAACUCACUGUAGAAAUCAAGACUGCAGCUGGGAGAGUUCAGUGUCCUUCAGGUUCCUGGAGGUCAGCGUCUCUGUUUAACACACAGUCAUUGUGUUGUAUGUGUCUGUCAGAAUCUCAUCAUAUGCUGAUUUGAUUAUGCAGAAUUCACAUGCUUGAACGGUUUAAGAAUAUACAGAGUGUGCAAGAGAGUGUUUCUUUCUCAUGUUAGGUUACUGUAUUUUCAGUUUUGAUUUGAUGUGUACUUUAUGUAAAGCCUUUUAAUUAUUUUAUGCACUGUUUUUUUCACCCUUAUUUUAAUAAUAAAAGUCUGGGGACAUAGUAA